RNAcentral lists this long non-coding RNA (305 nucleotides) under Setaria viridis. RNAcentral's name for it is "long non-coding RNA (SVIR_LNC007912)". Lineage: Eukaryota; Viridiplantae; Streptophyta; Magnoliopsida; Poales; Poaceae. The record is from RNAcentral.
UCAAAGGCUCAGGGGCUACGCAGCAGAGGAGCGUGGCCCACUCAGACUUCUGAAGACUAGUCGGAAUAUGUAAGGAAACUACUCCAUCUAGGCCGAGUAGGAUUCUGUAACCGAACCCGACUAGGUUUCUACCAUGUAACCUUGCUCCCCUGAUCAUAUAAGGGCGGGCAGGGACCCCCUGCAGACAACUCAACUCAUCCAAGUUCAAUACAAUCAACAUACAGGACGUAGGGUAUUAUGCGAUCUAGCGGCCCGAACCUAUCUAAAUCGUGUUCCUUGCAUCACCAUCGACUCCUUGAUUCUCG